Molecule: ribosomal RNA, 512 nt
Filed under: uncultured bacterium
Lineage: Bacteria
Description: bacterial SSU rRNA
Rfam family: Bacterial small subunit ribosomal RNA
Source: RNAcentral
GAUGAACGCUAGCGACAGGCCUAACACAUGCAAGUCGAGGGGCAGCAUAAAGGUAGCAAUACUUUGGUGGCGACCGGCGCACGGGUGAGUAACACGUAUGCAACCUACCUGUAAGAGGGGAAUAACCCGGAGAAAUUCGGACUAAUACCGCAUAAUACUGAUUAUCUGCAUGGAUUGAUCAGUUAAACAUUUAUGGCUUACAGAUGGGCAUGCGUAUGAUUAGAUAGUUGGUAGGGUAACGGCCUACCAAGUCAACGAUCAUUAGGGGUUCUGAGAGGAAGGUCCCCCACACUGGUACUGAGACACGGACCAGACUCCUACGGGAGGCAGCAGUGAGGAAUAUUGGUCAAUGGGCGAGAGCCUGAACCAGCCAAAGUCGCGUGAAGGAAGAAGGUUCUAUGGAUUGUAAAACUUCUUUUGUAAAGGGAAUAAAAAGAGUUACGUGUAACUUAUUGUAUGUACUUUACGAAUAAGGAUCGGCUAACUCCGUGCCAGCAGCCGCGGUAAUAACG